Hermetia illucens (black soldier fly) is the source of this 885-nucleotide long non-coding RNA. RefSeq lists it as uncharacterized. The record is from RefSeq and is a predicted model, not a curated record. The transcript is spliced from 3 exons. NCBI's taxonomy places the organism in Eukaryota, Metazoa, Arthropoda, Insecta, Diptera, Stratiomyidae.
GAUCAAACAGCCAGUCGAGUAGUUAGCGUGUGCGUUAGUAGCCCCUACAAAUGCUGCUUUUUAGGAUUUUGUCGCCAACAUAGGAGUCGGCUUAAAAAGAAUUUUCCACAGCUUGCAAUGAAUCCCUUCAGCAAUAGAUCUGAAUUAGACCUAGCAAAAAGGCGAAAGAACGUUUGAAUCUCGUACUUAUGUGCUAUCUGUUGUCACAACCUGUUUAUUGCAUGCGAAUUAUAUGAUAACUUGUCUGUGCGGUAGGAACUGGACGACAUUAUGUGUAAGGAACAAAAACGAACAUGAGCAGUCAUCAUCAUACAAAUAUGUUCAUAUAACAUAAGCGCGACAUGAAAGUACAAACGGAAAUGACGGUAACAGCAGUGCAGACAGCUUGUUAUGCAUUCGUAUGCAUUAUUUCCAUUCCACAACCUAUUUCGUAGUUCCGCUGGUCGGACGCGGGUAGACCGGUUCUGAAUCUUGAAUGAUGACAUCGUCAAUAUAUUAAAUAACGAGAUUCAGAUACGCCAGUCUCCUAUAAUUCGCGGCUACAAGAAUCUACAUCGAAAAUAAAUGAUAGUUUCUCUUGCAGACGGAUAGGUUAAUUGCUUUUACUGGCACCUUUCACGGGACUUGUUUAAUACAUAUAAAAGUCAACCAUAAAGAAUCACAAAUAAAAAUUCACCGAUAUUCACAUGAUACCUCAAAUAUUCCAAAUUCGAUAAAUGUUGAUAAGUUGCUCGUAAAAAUGAAAAUUUUAGCAAUCAACAAGAACUCCAAAAAUAUAGUCUGCGUGCAUAAGAUGGCUUAGUCAGUGAGCAAUAAUUUGUAAUUAUUGUUUGGAAUGCAUCGAAAAACUCCAAUACUUUAAACCAGACAAAACAAGCAAAUCUU